This 1129-nucleotide ribosomal RNA is filed under the name human gut metagenome. Its description in RNAcentral is "bacterial SSU rRNA". It matches the Rfam family "Bacterial small subunit ribosomal RNA", at positions 385 to 1520 of the family's 1533-position model. The record is from RNAcentral.
GAACGAGCAAUGCCGCGUGAGUGAAGAAGGUCUUCGGAUCGUAAAGCUCUGUUGUAAGAGAAAAACGGAUCAUGUAGGGAAUGACAUGAUAGUGAUGGUAUCUUACCAGAAAGCCACGGCUAACUACGUGCCAGCAGCCGCGGUAAUACGUAGGUGGCAAGCGUUAUCCGGAAUCAUUGGGCGUAAAGGGUGCGUAGGUGGCACGAUAAGUCUGAAGUAAAAGGCAACAGCUCAACUGUUGUAUGCUUUGGAAACUGUCGAGCUAGAGUGCAGAAGAGGGCGAUGGAAUUCCAUGUGUAGCGGUAAAAUGCGUAGAUAUAUGGAGGAACACCAGUGGCGAAGGCGGUCGCCUGGUCUGUAACUGACACUGAUGCACGAAAGCGUGGGGAGCAAAUAGGAUUAGAUACCCUAGUAGUCCACGCCGUAAACGAUGAGAACUAAGUGUUGGAGAGAUUCAGUGCUGCAGUUAACGCAAUAAGUUCUCCGCCUGGGGAGUAUGCACGCAAGUGUGAAACUCAAAGGAAUUGACGGGGGCCCGCACAAGCGGUGGAGUAUGUGGUUUAAUUCGAAGCAACGCGAAGAACCUUACCAGGCCUUGACAUGGAUAUAAAUGUUCUAGAGAUAGAAAGAUAGCUAUAUAUCACACAGGUGGUGCAUGGUUGUCGUCAGCUCGUGUCGUGAGAUGUUGGGUUAAGUCCCGCAACGAGCGCAACCCUUGUCUUCUGUUACCAGCAUUAAGUUGGGGACUCAGGAGAGACUGCCGGUGACAAACCGGAGGAAGGUGGGGAUGACGUCAAAUCAUCAUGCCCCUUAUGGCCUGGGCUACACACGUACUACAAUGGCGCCUACAAAGAGCAGCGACACCGCGAGGUGGAGCGAAUCUCAUAAAGGGCGUCUCAGUUCGGAUUGAAGUCUGCAACUCGACUUCAUGAAGUCGGAAUCGCUAGUAAUCGCAGAUCAGCAUGCUGCGGUGAAUACGUUCUCGGGCCUUGUACACACCGCCCGUCAAACCAUGGGAGUUGGUAAUACCCGAAGCCGGUGGCAUAACCGCAAGGAGUGAGCCGUCGAAGGUAGGACCGAUGACUGGGGUUAAGUCGUAACAAGGUAUCCCUACGGGAACGUGGGGAUG